ACUCAAAUGAAUAGACGGGGACUUGCACAAGCGGUGGAUCAUGCGGUUUAAUUCGAUGAUAAACGAAGAACCUCACCAGGGCUUGAAACCUAACUGUAAUCUUUAGGAAACUAGAGACCUCCGCAAGGACUGUUAGGCAGGUGAUGCAUGGCCGUCGUCAGUUCGUGGUUUGAAUUGUUCCCUUAAGUGGGGUAACGAACGCAACCCUCGCUGCCAGUUUUAAAUGUCUGGCGGGACCGCCCAACUCUUUGCACACGAAACAAAAUUUGUUUCGCGAAUAAGGAGUUGGGAGGAAGGUGAGGAUGACGCCAGGUCAGCAUGUCCCUCUGAUGCCCUGGGCUACACGCAUGAUACAAUGGCCGUUACAACGGGACGCAAUGCCGUAAGGUGGAGCAAACCCUAAUAAAGACGGCCCCAGUUCGGAUUGAGGUCUGCAACUCGACCUCAUGAAGCCGGAAUCGCUAGUAAUCGCGGGUCAGCCAUACCGCGGUGAAUACGUUCUCAAGUCUUGCACACACCGCCCGU
This 525-nucleotide ribosomal RNA is filed under the name uncultured bacterium. Its description in RNAcentral is "partial 16S ribosomal RNA". It matches the Rfam family "Bacterial small subunit ribosomal RNA", at positions 899 to 1397 of the family's 1533-position model. The record is from RNAcentral.